GAUGGCCGAGGCACAACAAGAACCAGGAAUCCAGAGACGGCCAGUUAGGUCGUGAUAAGUGCUCCUCCCUCUUUGAAGUUUUCGUUCCUCUCACCUAACCGCUUUCCCUUCUCUGCUGCCCUCUCUUCUCCAUCGAGAUCUCCGAUCCGUCUCCUCCAAAUCGUGAAAAUUUCCCCCGAUUGUUCCCUCCAAUCUUUCCGCCUUCCCAGCCGAAACCCUCUUCCAUCCAUCGACGCAUCGAAAUCAAAGCCAUGCCCGUCUCUCAGCCUAUCACCGGCGGCUAUCGCCACAGAUAUGCCUCCAAUCGUGGCGCCGUUGGGCCACCCUAUGGGAGGAUCAUCUCGAUCCCUGGCAUCUCCAAUCCUGCCGCUUCUUCCGAUCCCUGCAGGGAACUCCCCUUCCGUAGAAGACACCAAGAUUUUGUUCUUAACGAUCCCUACGCCGCCCCCGGCGGUCCGCCUCCUUUGAAGAGGAGGAGGAUGAGGUCCGAUGGUUUUACGUGGGACGGUCGCGCUGGUGGUAAUAUAGCGUCCACCAGUAGCAGUUCCUUUCUGCAGCCGCCUAGGAGAGGUGUUGAUGCGCGCUACGGUCCCCCAAGCGCCGGACAGAAUCACGCGCCGGUGAGGUCGGAAGGGGAGAACGCUGCUUUCGUGUCGAGGGAUGAGAUCGAAAGGUGCUCUCCGUCUCGAAAGGAUGGCAUCGAUCCCUUGCUCGAGACACAGCUGCGGUACUCCUACUGCUCGUACCUUCAGAAUCUCGGGAUGAGACUCGAGCUGCCGCAAACUACUAUUGGAACAGCGAUGGUUCUUUGCCACCGCUUCUUUUUCCGGAGGUCCCAUGCUUGCCACGAUAGAUUUAUGAUUGCGACAGCAGCUCUGUUCCUGGCAGCAAAGUCUGAGGAAACACCAUGUGUCUUGAACUCUAUGCUCAGGGCAUCAUGUGAAACUUCUCAAGAACUAGAGCUUUCUUACUAUCCAUACUUGCAUCAUAAGGAUUGGUUUGAGCAAUACCGUGAACGGGUCAUUGAAACUGAACAAAAGAUACUAACUACUCUGGAUUUUGAACUUGAAGUGGAGCACCCAUAUGUCCCUCUUGCAUCAGUACUUAACAAACUUGGACUUUCACAAUCUGUUCUUCUUACAGUCGCUUGGAAUUUUGUCAGUGAAGGGUAUGGAUCUUGGUUGUGCUAUUUGCCUAUUGCUUUCGCCAUGUCAACUCAUCUAUUUCAUUUGGAAUGGAAGGUUUAGUUUGUUCGACAAGUAUCGAAUUGAUAUUUUUAUUCAUCGGUACCUAAUGUUAUUAGUUAUCAUACAUUUUGUUUUGGCUUGUUAGUUAUUUCAAGCAUAUGUGUCAAGCAUAAUGUUAUUAGUUAUCAUACAUUUUGAAGUUUUUUUUGCAGAACUGUCCUUUGAUAUUGUUUUAGCAUUGGAACAUGUAAUAGUACUCUCAAUGAUAUCCAAAGUUUGAGAAUUUUCAGUCUCUUGUAUGCAUUAUAUAUAGCGAUUGCUAGAUUACCAUCUUACAAAUGCAAGUCCAUUGUGGUUUAUUGCAUCGUCAGUUUUGUUUUUCACAUUUAUGUGGAAAUGGAGUUCCAUCUGGAAGUAUUUAGGUGAAGCUACUUGUUUGAGUGAUGUUAGUGCACCAUUCUUACAAGCCACUUAUUUAGGUGUUCACCAUAAUCAUUUUAUCAUGGUUUGGAAAUAUUUGAAGCCUUUUUUAAUGGUUCAAGCUCUGCUCUAGCCUUCAAGUGGAGCUUUAUCAAGUCAAAAAAUGAAUCGAGCUUGAUCUGUCCAUUAUCUGCUUGUUUCAAUUGCUAGUUACACUUGCUGAUGUGAUAUAGUGAAGCAAAGCCUCAAUUUAACUUCUUGUACCUUUGAACUUGCAAUGCAGAACUGCCUUAUCAACCAUAGGUCCUUGCUUUCAUGUCUACCAUUGUAUACAAACCUAUUGUCUUGCAUCAUUAUUUGUGGUAAUAAAGUCUAUCAUUCCUUCUUUCGUUAUAUUGAUCUACUUGAACAAGUGUGGGUAAUACUCGGGCACUGUCAAGAAGAUUUUUCUCUAUUGAUUUUUGUCUUCUGGUCUAUUUCCCGUACUGGUCUUUUGAGGUUUUUCAGGAUUUUCCUUAACUUCAUUGCAAGUAGAAUCCCUUUGAAGUUUUCCAUAUUUAACUACCUCCCCAUUCUCCUUUAUUGUUAUCUGCUUCAAGAUGUUAUGGAAGAAAAUAUGUGCUUGAUGCCUAUUUGAAAUAAAUCUUAUCUUUGACAUAUUAACUAAGUCAGACAUGAUCAAUGGUGUGAUAGACACCAUUCAAUGAUACAGAUUAUCUAAAGCACACGUUAACAUUGCUUAUGUCAUUUAUAUAAAUCAGACAAAAUUCUCCUGGAUUUCAUUAGUAUGUACUGCCAUUAUAUGUUAGCAAGAUGCAUGCCUCUAUAUCAUGGGGACGAGCAUGGGUCAUACUUGAUCCAUAGAAUUGUGUCUAUGAGUUCGGGGUUUUAAGUCAUUAGGGGGUUAGUACAAUACAAUUACUCAAGAGUCUUUGACGUUACAGAAGUUCGUUUGUUCUGCAGGCUUCUGUUGAAUGUGGUUCUUAUUUCAAAACAAAAUUUGAGUAAAAUAUGGUGUUUUCCUAAUUGCAAAUGCAAGAGAUUAAAAGACAGAAUUUCCACCUACAUUGAAAAAUCUUUUCCUACGGUACUGGAAUCGAAAGCUCUAUUUCAUUUGUCUUUUUCCUGUGUGUUUUGUGCAUAGUUAUGUGCAGUUGAAUCAUUUUAUGAUAUUUUUUCUUGAAUGACAGAGAUAAGAUGAAGAGUCUAUAUUUUUGUUUUAUUAUGCAAGUCAUCAGAUUAAUGAACUAUUAUUAAAUUAUGUAGUUUAUCAUAAGCAUGUUCUUGCAUCUUGAUAAAUGCAUCACCCCACACUUUCCUGAUAUUCUUAGGUUUUAGGAUAAUUAUGUAAUUCAUGCAUAGAUGAAGUAAUCUAUAUAGAACUGUGAUUAUGGUACAUGAUGUUCCUUGAACUGUCAUUUUAAUCUGUAUCAAACAUUCUGUCUCCAGAAUUUAAAGACCACUUUUUAUGAGUUUGGCAAUUUUAGUUCUGGAUGGUAAAUCAUUUUGAGUAACUUCUUAGGCCUCUGAAAAAGAGGCCUGAAGAAAUAGGCCACAAGCAAGUGAAUGGCUUACAACUCAAACUAGACUAGUUGUUUUUUGUGUGAUGAAUUCUUGGAUUCUAAAGCGUUGCUCCUUUUCUCGUUGCGGUUAUCAAUAUGUUUACUCUUUUAAGUUCAUCUAUUGGAGGUUGUGACAGUAGCAGUCAUGUCUAAUGAACAACUGAAUUUUUGAAUAAUUUGAAAGGAUUGUUAUGGCAGUAUUUUUUUUCUCUUUUUGGUGAUUAAGCUUCUUUUUUUUCUCAUACGGAGACAUAGAUAUCUAUAUGCUAGUGAUGCAUUUUCUGGUUUUCUAUAUGCGUGUUCUCUUGGAACAUUUUUUGGAUGAGCAUGGUUCUAUAUUGACACCAAUAUAUAAACCAAUGGCCAAAUGGGUACUAAUUUUUGCCUUUUUUGUGUCUUCAUGUGGAAUUAUUGUGUGCAAACUCAGUGUUUUAAAAGGGCACCCGGGCGCUUGCCUAGGCGCUCAAGCGAAGUGAGGCGAGGCUUGAGCGCCUCGGACAGUUGUUGAGCAAUGCGCUUCAAUGAAGCACUGCCCGGGCGCCUCGGGUGAGCGCUUGGUUGAAGGCGAGCAAUCGAACCAUAACUUUGGUUUGGUUGAACUGUAACUUUGUUGGUUCAAUUAAACCAACUAAGCAUAAUAAAAUAGUAACAAUAAAACCCCCCGCACGCUCCUCCCUCGACGUAUGACCUAUAAACCCUAGGUCUUUGCCGCCCUGACUCACCUCUGGUUCUGCUAGCCACUGCCUCCACCGUCGAUGCACAGGUCCAACGCUCCUACCGUCGAUGGACGGGUCCGAUGUUCCCACUACUGUAUCUUUCAUGCGUAGUUCCCUCCACCGCCACUGCUUCCAUGUGCAACUCCUUUUGUCGUUGAGGGAUAGGUUCGCAGCUUCCUCUACCACUGAUGGACACAUCUGAAGCUUCCUUUGCCCUUGAUGCCAUCGUCUGUAGCUUCCUCUACCAUCGUUGUCAUUGUCCGCCGCUUUCUCCGUCGUCGUUGUUGCCGUCCGUGGCUUCCUCCGUCGUCGUUGUCAUCGUCGGAAGGUUCCCCCGUCACCACUGCCCUCUCCUUCCCCACGUUCCACCAUUGGUGACACCUUUUCUCUCUCUUUAUUGUUAUGACUAUUGUUAACAGUGGAUUAAAUAUUGUUAACAGUAGAUUGCUAAUCCUUAACUAAUAUUAAAACUAUUGUUACCAUAUAAUAAACUAAAACUGAUAUUAAUCCUUAGAACUGUCGACCUAUUUAGAACAAAUUCUUAUUUAGAAUUCUUAAUCCUUAUUUACCAUUGUUAAUCGCUAUUUAGAUUUGUAAUUAGCCCCUAUUUAGCACUGUUAAUCUUUAUUUAUUUAGAAUUGUUAUUAGGGUUUUAGGAUUAAUGGCAAGUGUGCAAAGCAAUAAGGGAGAUUCAUCAAAAAAUUCAAUUUAAUGUCAUAUUUUUAUUUAUAUAAUCAUAUUUAUCAAUUAUAUUAUAUAUUUUUUAUAUUUUAAUAUUCUAGGUGAGCAUCUAGGCCUCGAGAAAUUGGGACCUUGGAUCCUUUUGGCGCCUAGCACUUUUAAAAACAUUGCAAACUAAAGAAAGCAUGGAUUGACUUAUUUUUGGAUUUAAUGUUUGUGGUAUGCUUUUCUUUGUAGAUCUUUGAUAGUUCGUUUGACAUUUUAUUUUUUGUUUGUUGGAACUCAGGAGUAUUUUCGAAUGUUGGAAUUAUAUAUCUUUGAAUGUUGGAAUUAUAUGGCAAUGAUCUAAACAUGGGUCCGAUAUUGGUUUGACAACCGAUUGGAUUGGCAUACUGGGUAUUAUACCGACUUGUACCUUAGCAUGUUACUGAAAAAUAUAAAAAAUAGAAUAUCAGUCAGUGCCGACUGGUUGGUACAAACCAGUUUGAUUGGUAUUUGAAACCUUAUUACAUAAUUUUUUUUAUCUUUUAUUAAUAUGGUUUUUGUGUCUUGUCCUUGUACUACAAUAUUUCUGCAGGUCAUUUUUUCUUGUGUCAUAUUGAUUGUUUGAUAUGUCAUAAAUUGCAGGGUUUUCUUCACAAGACUAAUGUGCUAUAUGUGAUAUUCUUAGCUGGAGGAUAUGCGUUCAUGCAAAGCACUUUUUGACGAAUAGCAAGAGUUGGACAAAUAUUAGAUGAAAAGUAUUAAUAUGAUUUUGAAUUGGUUAUCACACAAUUAAUGGAUCUCAAGCACUUUGCAUCACGGGAUCUCUAAUUAUUCUUCUUGAUUUCAGAUGCCUGAGAUCCUUUCCUGGUGACUUGGCAAUUAAACACUAAAGCCAGUCUUCCUAUUUUGUUCUUUGAUUUUCAUUUAAUUUCUUGAUUCCUGUAUUAUGGUCAGAUUUGAUAUCAUCGUCCUCCUGUGUCCCUCGAGUCUUCUACUAUCUUUUGUUUGUGUUAUUUUAGUUGCUCACUCCUGUUCUUUAGUGGAUCUUUUCUGUACAGUCCAAUUCUGCUCUUCUCCAAGUGUCAACUUUUAUAUACUAAUCACAAAGUUGAAACUUAUAGAACCAUUUUUUGUUUAUUUUCUCCUCUCUCUCUCUCUCUCUCUCUCUCUCUCUCUCUCUCUCUCUCUGCCUUCUGUCCUUCCAUAACUAACUGGAAUCAGAACCAAAUCUUAUCCCUUUGCAUCUUUUUUCAGCAUGCAAGUUAAAUGAAAUUUUUUACUUACAGACUUAACACAAUGAUAAUAUACCAGAGCCAGCAAUACUCUUAAGAAUAGGUAGUUCUAUAUAUGCUAUAAUACUCUAAGAGAAUGAUUAAGAACAUAACAUUCCUAAACUUUUGUAGCCAACAGUUUGCCAGUGAUGUCCUUUAUUUCUUAUUUGCAUUGAGGUAAAAACAGGUGUUUGCUAUGUCAUCUGUAUGAGUUCCAAACAGCUUCUUCUAGUAAGGUAUCUUUUUAUGCUAGUAAAAAUAUCAAUAUCCUAAAAUAAUAAAUUGUUUCCCAGAAUGUUUCAUUUACUAGUAUGAGCAUUGCAUGGUCAUCUACAGGUAUAUGUGUGUGGAAUUGAGGGUGAUGGUUGACCGAAAGUUGUUAUAGAUCUCUUGGCUUCCCACAACACCAUGGUGAUCUGGAGUUGAAUUUAAAAUGAUGUCUUGCUUAAGUUCAAUAGGCUGAAUCUUGUUCCAACUACUUAAGGACCAUCGGAUGUGUAAAUACACAUCUAUUAAUUGUUUUUGUUCAAAAUGAGAAGCUACAAGCAUCCAGGAGAGAUUUGUUUUCUCUCUCUUUGUGUCACAAAUUUCUACUACUUUCCUGAUUGAGUAUAUGGAUAAUGGGAGGGGGAACUUUGACGGGAGCAUUCCUGAGUUCAGGAAUUGGUGCAUAGUUACCAAAGACAUGCUAUAGUUUAGCUCUAACACAGAAUUUCAACUGAAGAUUCUCAGACUAUAUAUCAGCUGGACUGCUGCUUUGAUAUUUGGUAAGGAGUCUUUGGCAUGUAGGCUUGUUUGUUCUGCUCCAUGAUUCUUAUCCUGUCAUAAUUUUAUAUUUGUUAUCUCAUCCGUUUUGCUUAUGUUAAUUCUUGGAGCACGUCAUGUAACUUGGGACACUAAAACAUUGCCACAGAAAAAUGGUUUGGCUAUUAGCUUAUCAUCUUUAGCUUGUUAUUGCCCCUGAUCAUAACAAUGGACCAAUUGUUUAAUCAAAUGCUUAUGGUUUUAUAAUUUUGCAGAUACCGCAGUUCUCUUUGCCUUCAGUUUAAGCCUCGUCAUAUCGCUGCUGGAGCUGUAUUGCUUGCCGCCAAGUGCCUAAACUAUGAGCUUGCUCUUUAUCCAAGUUUUUGGCAUGAGUUCCGGACGACACCAGCUAUCCUUCAGGAUAUUGUCCAACAGUUGAUGGAGCUUCUCUGAGACGAGACCGAUUAUUGUGCUUAGAUGUUAUACGACAGGUUUGUAGUAUGGAUCCAUCAGAUUGUAUUAGUUCCAAUGUUCCCCUAUCAAGAAAGAUUUAAGCCUCUAUUUGAUUUUCAGCCAGCUAAGUUUCUCUCCAGUGCUUGCAAUAGUGAUUGAAAUCAUAGUCUUUUAGCACUCAAGUUUCUAAUGUACCACACACUCCUUUUUGUAACCUUUACUGAAGUUAUAAAAAUUUUCUGGUUUUAUCAAA
Non-coding RNA from Musa acuminata subsp. malaccensis (wild Malaysian banana), 7272 nucleotides. NCBI's taxonomy places the organism in Eukaryota, Viridiplantae, Streptophyta, Magnoliopsida, Zingiberales, Musaceae. The record is from RefSeq and is a predicted model, not a curated record.